Molecule: ribosomal RNA, 312 nt
Filed under: uncultured bacterium
Lineage: Bacteria
Description: bacterial SSU rRNA
Rfam family: Bacterial small subunit ribosomal RNA
Source: RNAcentral
AUUGAACACUGUCGGAAUGCUUUACACAUGCAAGUCGAACGGCAGCACGGGGCAACCUGGUGGCGAGUGGCGAACGGGUGAGUAAUACAUCGGAACGUGCCCAGUCGUGGGGGAUAACGUAGCGAAAGCUACGCUAAUACCGCAUACGAUCUACGGAUGAAAGCGGGGGACUCGCAAGAGCCUCGCGCGAUUGGAGCGGCCGAUGGCAGAUUAGGUAGUUGGUGGGGUAAAGGCUCACCAAGCCUGCGAUCUGUAGCUGGUCUGAGAGGACGACCAGCCACACUGGAACUGAGACACGGUCCAGACUCCUAC